CGGGCUGUAGCACAGUGGCUAGUGCGCUCGCUUUGGGAGCGAGAGGUCGUGGGUUCGAAUCCCACCAGCCCGA
This 73-nucleotide transfer RNA is filed under the name Patescibacteria group bacterium. Its description in RNAcentral is "tRNA-Pro". It matches the Rfam family "tRNA". From Rfam's summary of the family: Transfer RNA (tRNA) molecules are approximately 80 nucleotides in length. Their secondary structure includes four short double-helical elements and three loops (D, anti-codon, and T loops). RNAcentral also lists the same sequence under 1 other name. The record is from RNAcentral.